This 74-nucleotide transfer RNA is filed under the name Rubrobacter sp. RNAcentral describes it as "tRNA-Ala". It matches the Rfam family "tRNA". Rfam says of the family: Transfer RNA (tRNA) molecules are approximately 80 nucleotides in length. Their secondary structure includes four short double-helical elements and three loops (D, anti-codon, and T loops). RNAcentral also lists the same sequence under 2 other names. The record is from RNAcentral. Lineage: Bacteria; Bacillati; Actinomycetota; Rubrobacteria; Rubrobacterales; Rubrobacteraceae.
GGGGAUGUAGCUCACGCUGGGAGAGCGCCGCCUUUGCAAGGCGGAGGUAGCGAGUUCGAGUCUCGCCUUCUCCA